Long non-coding RNA from Gavialis gangeticus (Gharial), 2391 nucleotides. RefSeq lists it as uncharacterized. The record is from RefSeq and is a predicted model, not a curated record. NCBI's taxonomy places the organism in Eukaryota, Metazoa, Chordata, Crocodylia, Gavialidae. The transcript has 5 exons.
UAAAGACAGACUGAAACUGUUGUGUUUUUGGGGUGUCUGAGCCAUCCCCUGAUGGGGUGUGUGUUGGACUAAGACUAUAGUCAUCCAGAUGGCAGGCUACAGAGGGAUGAGCAUUAGACAAUUGGGCAACAUCAAAACCAGGCUGAAGAGAAACUUUGAAUUCCAUCUGGAGUGGCUAGGGUGGGAGGUUUGGAGCCCCACAGAAGAAGACAGAGAUCAAGACCUGAAGGAUCACCUUGGGGUAUUGCCUCCUAUUAACAUUGUACUAACAAAGUCAUAGCAGGAAAGAAAAAGUAAGAUCAAUGUCCUGGCAGACCAGGUGAUCUGAGGUUGAGGUCCAUCCUGUCACUGCCUGUAGGUAAAUGAACUCUCAGCAGUGGCAGUAAGCCUUAUAAUACCUACAGUCAUCACAUUGGUGCAUUGGCCGGGAAAGCAGAACCCACCCCAGGGGUAGAGAUGGAGUUAGAUCUGCCAAUAGGGGUCACAACAGGCGCAGAGGCCAUACAACAGACCUUGGGCCUGGUAGAACAGUUAUUACAGCAGCAGCAGCAACAGGCAGUCAGACAGAUGGUGGUAGAUGAGCAACUGAUGAGACAACAGGAGUUAAUACAGCGCAAUUUGGUGGAUUUAAAGGUACCAAAAAUGACAUUAGAGGAUGACCCCAAAGCAUUUUUAGAGCGUUUUGAAAGGGUUGCAGUGGAGGCAGGAUUAGUUCCAUCAAAGUGGGCAGCCAAGUUAGGAGUACUUUUAGUUGGACAGGCACAGGCGGCAUAUAGUAAUAUGUUACAAUUAGGUGUUCAAAAUUAUGAGAGGGUCAAAGAGGAAAUUUUAUUGUAUUUGGAUAUCACCCAAGAGAGAUAUGGACAAAUGUUCAGAGUGUGAAAAAAGAAAGAAGAGAAAACUCCUAGGGCUUUGCUACAGAGACUAGUGAUUUUACUGAAUAGGUGGCUUAAGCCGGCAGUCACAUCCUUGGAGGAGGUUGAUUGACACAGUCUUGUUAGAACAGUUCCUUACUGACCUAGAGGAAGGUACUCAGAGGUGGGUAAGGUGUCAUCGCCCCAAGACCUCUAGAGAGGCACUGUGAUUAGCAAAGGAUUUUGAUUGUGCAUAGGGGAAAGGGCCUUGAGAAAAAAUUGGUGGACCCAACAGUAGUAUGAGUGGUAGGACCAGAGAGCUCCAGGGGAAAUGUGACAGUAAAGGGCUUAACUAGGUAAUAGUGGCUGGAGUCACUUGCUUUAGAUGUGGUAAGAAAGGGCAUAUGGCUAGAGACUGCCCAAGUAACCCACGUCUAUAUAGUUCUGAAUUUUAUGUGCAGCAAGAAGGGAAAAAUGAGUCAAUGGGGGCACAGGAACCACCUCCAGUGGAGAUGAUGGAUUGUAGUUUCGGAAGAGUGCUAGGGGGAGGAUGAUGAGCUAAGUCAUCAGUGUUGACGGAGGUGGCUGGGCAAGUGGUCCAGGCAAUUAUAGAUACAGGGUGUGAUCAAACCUUGGUGCAAAAAGGGUUAAUAGCCCUAAGCGGAGGAGUGAAACUGACACCUAUCCAGUUGGUUUGCUUACAAGGACAAGGCUGCAUGUACCCAAGGAUGAGAGUGUGACUACCAGUAAAAGGGGUCACUCUGGAAUGGCCAGUAGAGAUAGCAGAUGACCUGUUGUACCCUAUGAUAUUAGGCCAAGAUUGGCCGGAGAUCGAUCAAUUGUUAGCAAAGGAACAGGAGCAAAUAGCCCCCAGGGAAGGCCUUAUAGGUGAGGAAGAUGCAGAGGGAUCAGAAAGGGAGGACUCUGAUCUAUGGGAUAUAAGUACGUUCACAGGUGGAGCGUAAUUCCGGGAAGCCGAACAGGAAGAGCCAACAUUUUGAGCCAUGUGGGAGUCAGAGAUUGCCGAAAGAGAGCAACAGGUAAUAUGCCCAGAACUGUGUGAUCAACUGCUGUGUUGCGAGGUUUUGUGCAAGUUGAUCUCCCCACCAUCCCGCUCGAUGCCAACAGCCUGGUGUGUGGCGAGUCAAACUGUCAAGCUGAAGGUCACCACAGCAGGAAGACAGUGCCUUGGACUGGCAUUUCUGCCAUGGCUCAUCACUGAUCUAGCUCAACUUGCCAACAUCUGGCUUCCAUGGACUCUGCUCUGCUAAGUAUACUGAUUCCUCCAAUUCCUCAACAUGGGGCACUGGUGUUGCAGGGGGACCCGGGAUGGAGACAGUCCUUCCCUGCAAGAAAAGCCAGGGCGAACUUACCUGUUUCAGGCCAGGAAGAGACAGGCAAGCCGCACCAACAUGGACCACCUGGUAGGUUUGUGAGCUGUGUUUAUUUCCAGUUAAAAGCAUCGUGGCUGGAUGAUGUAAUCUCAGGAUGCCGCCCAGACUGAAUAAAAACUGGUGGCAAAAAGACUGUGGUGGAA